CACUCCUACGGGAGGCAGCAGUGGGGAAUUUUGGACAAUGGGCGAAAGCCUGAUCCAGCAAUGCCGCGUGUGUGAAGAAGGCCUUCGGGUUGUAAAGCACUUUUGUCCGGAAAGAAAUCCUUGGCUCUAAUACAGUCGGGGGAUGACGGUACCGGAAGAAUAAGCACCGGCUAACUACGUGCCAGCAGCCGCGGUAAUACGUAGGGUGCGAGCGUUAAUCGGAAUUACUGGGCGUAAAGCGUGCGCAGGCGGUUUGCUAAGACCGAUGUGAAAUCCCCGGGCUCAACCUGGGAACUGCAUUGGUGACUGGCAGGCUAGAGUAUGGCAGAGGGGGGUAGAAUUCCACGUGUAGCAGUGAAAUGCGUAGAGAUGUGGAGGAAUACCGAUGGCGAAGGCAGCCCCCUGGGCCAAUACUGACGCUCAUGCACGAAAGCGUGGGGAGCAAACAGGAUUAGAUACCCCUGUAGUCCC
RNAcentral lists this ribosomal RNA (471 nucleotides) under uncultured organism. RNAcentral describes it as "partial 16S ribosomal RNA". It matches the Rfam family "Bacterial small subunit ribosomal RNA", at positions 334 to 797 of the family's 1533-position model. The record is from RNAcentral.